GACGAACGCUGGCGGCGUGCUUAACACAUGCAAGUCGAACGGGAUGAUUUAAGAGCUUGCUCUUGGAGAAUCUAGUGGCAAACGGGUGAGUAACACGUAGACAACCUGCCGACAGGAUGGGGACAACAUUCCGAAAGGAAUGCUAAUACCGAAUGAAGCGGAGGAGAGGCAUCUCUCCUCCGUGAAAGAUGGCCUCUAUUUAUAAGCUAUCACCUGUCGAUGGGUCUGCGUCUGAUUAGCUGGUUGGUGAGGUAACGGCUCACCAAGGCGACGAUCAGUAGCCGGUCUGAGAGGAUGAACGGCCACAUUGGGACUGAGACACGGCCCAGACUCCUACGGGGGGCAGCAGUGGGGAAUCUUCCGCAAUGGGCGCAAGCCUGACGGAGCAACGCCGCGUGAGUGAAGAAGGUCUUCGGAUCGUAAAGCUCUGUUGACGGGGACGAACGUACGGAGUGCGAAUAGUGCUCUGUAAUGACG
This 477-nucleotide ribosomal RNA is filed under the name Selenomonas sp. oral taxon 146. RNAcentral describes it as "bacterial SSU rRNA". It matches the Rfam family "Bacterial small subunit ribosomal RNA", at positions 28 to 474 of the family's 1533-position model. Lineage: Bacteria; Bacillati; Bacillota; Negativicutes; Selenomonadales; Selenomonadaceae. The record is from RNAcentral.